This 1346-nucleotide ribosomal RNA is filed under the name uncultured bacterium. RNAcentral describes it as "partial 16S ribosomal RNA". It matches the Rfam family "Bacterial small subunit ribosomal RNA", at positions 28 to 1381 of the family's 1533-position model. The record is from RNAcentral.
GACGAACGCUGGCGGCGUGCUUAACACAUGCAAGUCGAACGGAAAGGCCCUGCUUUUGUGGGGUGCUCGAGUGGCGAACGGGUGAGUAACACGUGAGUAACCUGCCCUUGACUUUGGGAUAACUUCAGGAAACUGGGGCUAAUACCGGAUAGGAGCUCCUGCUGCAUGGUGGGGGUUGGAAAGUUUCGGCGGUUGGGGAUGGACUCGCGGCUUAUCAGCUUGUUGGUGGGGUAGUGGCUUACCAAGGCUUUGACGGGUAGCCGGCCUGAGAGGGUGACCGGCCACAUUGGGACUGAGAUACGGCCCAGACUCCUACGGGAGGCAGCAGUGGGGAAUAUUGCACAAUGGGCGGAAGCCUGAUGCAGCAACGCCGCGUGCGGGAUGACGGCCUUCGGGUUGUAAACCGCUUUCGCCUGUGACGAAGCGUGAGUGACGGUAAUGGGUAAAGAAGCACCGGCUAACUACGUGCCAGCAGCCGCGGUGAUACGUAGGGUGCGAGCGUUGUCCGGAUUUAUUGGGCGUAAAGGGCUCGUAGGUGGUUGAUCGCGUCGGAAGUGUAAUCUUGGGGCUUAACCCUGAGCGUGCUUUCGAUACGGGUUGACUUGAGGAAGGUAGGGGAGAAUGGAAUUCCUGGUGGAGCGGUGGAAUGCGCAGAUAUCAGGAGGAACACCAGUGGCGAAGGCGGUUCUCUGGGCCUUUCCUGACGCUGAGGAGCGAAAGCGUGGGGAGCGAACAGGCUUAGAUACCCUGGUAGUCCACGCUGUAAACGGUGGGUACUAGGUGUGGGGUCCAUUCCACGGGUUCCGUGCCGUAGCUAACGCUUUAAGUACCCCGCCUGGGGAGUACGGCCGCAAGGCUAAAACUCAAAGGAAUUGACGGGGCCCCGCACAAGCGGCGGAGCAUGCGGAUUAAUUCGAUGCAACGCGUAGAACCUUACCUGGGUUUGACAUGGAUCGGGAGUGCUCAGAGAUGGGUGUGCCUCUUUUGGGGUCGGUUCACAGGUGGUGCAUGGCUGUCGUCAGCUCGUGUCGUGAGAUGUUGGGUUAAGUCCCGCAACGAGCGCAACCCUUGUUCACUGUUGCCGGCACGUUAUGGUGGGGACUCAGUGGAGACCGCCGGGGUCAACUCGGAGGAAGGUGGGGAUGACGCCAAGUCAUCAUGCCCCUUAUGUCCAGGGCUUCACGCAUGCUACAAUGGCUGGUACAGAGAGUGGCGAGCCUGUGAGGGUGAGCGAAUCUCGGGAAGCCGGUCUCAGUUCGGAUUGGGGUCUGCAACUCGACCUCAUGAAGUCGGAGUCGCUAGUAAUCGCAGAUCAGCAACGCUGCGGUGAAUACGUUCCCGGGGCU